Molecule: small RNA, 75 nt
Filed under: Arabidopsis thaliana (thale cress)
Lineage: Eukaryota; Viridiplantae; Streptophyta; Magnoliopsida; Brassicales; Brassicaceae
Description: ATSL243410
Source: RNAcentral
UCCUUCUUCCUCUAUUGGAUGCCAUGGAAGUAGAAAUCUUCAGGAUUCUUCUUAGCUUUGAUUCUGAGAUUUUUG